GACGAACGCUGGCGGCGUGCUUAACACAUGCAAGUCGAACGGUAAGGCCCUUCGGGGUACACGAGUGGCGAACGGGUGAGUAACACGUGGGUGAUCUGCCCUGCACUUCGGGAUAAGCCUGGGAAACUGGGUCUAAUACCGGAUAGGACUCCUGGCUUCAUGGUUGGGGGUGUAAAGCUUUUGCGGUGUGGGAUGGGCCCGCGGCCUAUCAGCUUGUUGGUGGGGUAAUGGCCUACCAAGGCGACGACGGGUAGCCGGCCUGAGAGGGUGACCGGCCACACUGGGACUGAGAUACGGCCCAGACUCCUACGGGAGGCAGCAGUGGGGAAUAUUGCACAAUGGGCGCAAGCCUGAUGCAGCGACGCCGCGUGAGGGAUGACGGCCUUCGGGUUGUAAACCU
This 400-nucleotide ribosomal RNA is filed under the name uncultured bacterium. RNAcentral describes it as "bacterial SSU rRNA". It matches the Rfam family "Bacterial small subunit ribosomal RNA", at positions 28 to 432 of the family's 1533-position model. The record is from RNAcentral.